GAGUUUGAUCAUGGUUCAGGAUGAACGCUAGCGACAGGCUUAACACAUGCAAGUCGAGGGGCAUCACGGGAGUAGCAAUACAACUGGUGGCGACCGGCGCACGGGUGAGUAACGCGUAUGCAACCUACCUAUCAGAGGGGAAUAACCCGGCGAAAGUCGGACUAAUACCGCAUAAAACAGGGGCACCGCAUGGUGAUAUUUGUUAAAGAAAUUCGCUGAUAGAUGGGCAUGCGUUCCAUUAGGUAGUUGGUGAGGUAACGGCUCACCAAGCCGACGAUGGAUAGGGGAACUGAGAGGUUGGUCCCCCACACUGGUACUGAGACACGGACCAGACUCCUACGGGAGGCAGCAGUGAGGAAUAUUGGUCAAUGGGCGGGAGCCUGAACCAGCCAAGUCGCGUGAAGGAAGAAGGAUCUAUGGUUCGUAAACUUCUUUUGCAGGGGAAUAAAGUGCAG
RNAcentral lists this ribosomal RNA (455 nucleotides) under uncultured Parabacteroides sp. RNAcentral's name for it is "bacterial SSU rRNA". It matches the Rfam family "Bacterial small subunit ribosomal RNA", at positions 9 to 456 of the family's 1533-position model. Lineage: Bacteria; Pseudomonadati; Bacteroidota; Bacteroidia; Bacteroidales; Tannerellaceae. The record is from RNAcentral.